This 207-nucleotide ribosomal RNA is filed under the name uncultured bacterium. RNAcentral's name for it is "partial 16S ribosomal RNA". It matches the Rfam family "Bacterial small subunit ribosomal RNA", at positions 568 to 774 of the family's 1533-position model. The record is from RNAcentral.
UCUGCAGGUUGAUAUUUAAGUCAGGGGUGAAAUCCCAGAGCUCAACUCUGGAACUGCCUUUGAUACUGGGUAUCUUGAGUAUGGAAGAGGUAAGUGGAAUUCCGAGUGUAGAGGUGAAAUUCGUAGAUAUUCGGAGGAACACCAGUGGCGAAGGCGGCUUACUGGUCCAUUACUGACGCUGAGGUGCGAAAGCGUGGGGAGCAAACA